Molecule: long non-coding RNA, 339 nt
Filed under: Homo sapiens (human)
Lineage: Eukaryota; Metazoa; Chordata; Mammalia; Primates; Hominidae
Description: HSALNT0026773
Source: RNAcentral
GUCCUGAUCCUGGCCACAGCCAGAUGAUUUUUGGAAUAACCCGGCUUCAACUUGUUCAUCACAGUUUAUUCCCAGUACUGGACUCUAGCAUCUUUCCUCUUGGUGAUCCGUAAAGGGCCCGCCUUGCAGACACAAGGGAUAAAGGAGAUGGAAAAGUGGCAUCCGGAAAUAUCCUGAGCACCCACACUGCCACCUGCAGUAGGAUCAUCCCUGUCACACAUGUGACUUCACCCACGCGGCCACCCACAAGGAGAGUUCUUAACUUCACCAUUUUUUUAAAUGAUAAACAUUAGAUUUUGGGUGUACUGGACAGUAGAAAACAAAAAUGUAUAUAACAGC